UGUAAAGACAAACUAAGCAUGUAGUACCGAGGAUGUAGAAAUUUCGGACGCGGGUUCAACUCCCGCCAGCUCCACCA
Molecule: transfer-messenger RNA, 77 nt
Filed under: Enterobacter hormaechei
Lineage: Bacteria; Pseudomonadati; Pseudomonadota; Gammaproteobacteria; Enterobacterales; Enterobacteriaceae
Also listed under: 1 other name
Description: partial transfer-messenger RNA
Rfam family: transfer-messenger RNA
About the family: Bacterial tmRNA, also known as 10Sa RNA or SsrA, is named for its dual tRNA and mRNA-like properties.
Source: RNAcentral